This 95-nucleotide small nucleolar RNA is filed under the name Oryza punctata. Its description in RNAcentral is "Small nucleolar RNA Z157/R69/R10". It matches the Rfam family "Small nucleolar RNA Z157/R69/R10". From Rfam's summary of the family: Z157, R69 and R10 are members of the C/D class of snoRNA which contain the C (UGAUGA) and D (CUGA) box motifs. Most of the members of the box C/D family function in directing site-specific 2'-O-methylation of substrate RNAs. The record is from Rfam by way of RNAcentral. Lineage: Eukaryota; Viridiplantae; Streptophyta; Magnoliopsida; Poales; Poaceae.
UGAAAUGUUGUGAUGAUCAACUUUUUUGUGGACUAGGGUGUCUGAUAACACAACGCAGUGUUUACGACCAAACGGUUGGCUGUCUGAGUUCCUCA